CCUUUCCUCUGAGAGCCUGUCGCUGUCUCCUGACCCGAUGCCAGUCCGAGGCGGGAUCCAAGAAAACACUUGAGAUUUGCGUGUGCGGGGUCUGUCUUCCUACCAGAAUCUUUUUAAAGGUCCUGAGGACUUAAUUGCUGCUUUGACUACCAAAUAUCUCACAUCUGAGAGCCCAGAGCUUGAAUGGACAGAGCAAGAAACACUGCCAGGCACUUUAUUUGACUGUAACUUGAACUUGCUUCACCAGCAGAGGCCUCCCACAGUUGAAUGGGGGGAUCAGUGCCCCUUUUGCAUCUGCACCUGGCUGGCGGCAUGGAAGAGUGGGAAAUGGACUGUGCCCUCCUUCCCGUUGAGCAGUGUUGGGGCUACACGUGAUGGAGAUGCUGACACAGUCCCAGCUCACAGCCAGAGGAGGAGGAAAGGCCGAACUGCACCCCCUUGUGACUGACUCUCAGCCAGCCCAGCGAGGAAAGAGAACCAGCUGAGCAGACUCCUCACCCGCAGCAGGAAGGAGGCUCUGCUGCCACUGUGCGCUGCACUGGCUGGUGCAGAAGAGAGGAUGGGUGCUGGCCAGGUUUGGUCUUCAAGGAUCUACAGGAGGCAGCGUGUGAGCCUCCAUGCCUGUCCUGCUUUGGGGAACAUGAAACUGCUUUUCCAUUAAAGUGUAACACGUGCCUUUUCCUGCCACCCCCUUCUGCAGCUCACUGUGUCUGCCUGAUCAGCAGGU
Molecule: long non-coding RNA, 727 nt
Organism: Phyllostomus hastatus (greater spear-nosed bat)
Lineage: Eukaryota; Metazoa; Chordata; Mammalia; Chiroptera; Phyllostomidae
Exons: 3
Source: RefSeq, a predicted model, not a curated record